Molecule: ribosomal RNA, 451 nt
Filed under: uncultured bacterium
Lineage: Bacteria
Description: bacterial SSU rRNA
Rfam family: Bacterial small subunit ribosomal RNA
Source: RNAcentral
GUGGGGAAUUUUUCGCAAUGGGGGCAACCCUGACGAAGCAACGCCGCGUGGGGGAUGAAGGUCUUCGGAUUGUAAACCCCUGUCGACUGGGACGAAUGUAGUCCGGCCUAAUAUGCCGGGCUAUUGACUGUACCGGUGGAGGAAGCCACGGCUAACUCUGUGCCAGCAGCCGCGGUAAUACAGAGGUGGCAAGCGUUGUUCGGAAUUACUGGGCGUAAAGGGCGCGUAGGUGGUUCGCUAAGUCCCAUGUGAAAGCCCUCGGCUCAACUGAGGAAUGGCAUGGGAAACUGGUGGGCUAGAGUUCGGGAGAGGGAAGCGGAAUUCCGGGUGUAGCGGUGAAAUGCGUAGAUAUCCGGAGGAACACCGGUGGCGAAGGCGGCUUCCUGGACCGACACUGACACUGAGGCGCGAAAGCUAGGGGAGCAAACGGGAUUAGAUACCCGAGUAGUCC